Molecule: ribosomal RNA, 506 nt
Filed under: uncultured bacterium
Lineage: Bacteria
Description: partial 16S ribosomal RNA
Rfam family: Bacterial small subunit ribosomal RNA
Source: RNAcentral
AUUGAACGCUGGCGGCAGGCCUAACACAUGCAAGUCGGACGGUAGCACAGAGGAGCUUGCUCCUCGGGUGACGAGUGGCGGACGGGUGAGUAAUGUCUGGGGAUCUGCCCGAUAGAGGGGGAUAACCACUGGAAACGGUGGCUAAUACCGCAUAACGUCGCAAGACCAAAGAGGGGGACCUUCGGGCCUCUCACUAUCGGAUGAACCCAGAUGGGAUUAGCUAGUAGGCGGGGUAAUGGCCCACCUAGGCGACGAUCCCUAGCUGGUCUGGAAGGAUGAGCAGCCACACUGGACAUGAGACACGGUCCAGACUCCUACGGGAGGCAGCAGUGGGGAAUAUUGCAAAAUGGGCGCAAGCCUAAUGCAGCCAUGCCGCGUGUAUGAAGAAGGCCUUCGGGUUGUAAAGUACUUUCAGCGGGGAGGAAGGCGGUGAGGUUAAUAACCUUGCCGAUUGACGUUACCCGCAGAAGAAGCACCGGCUAACUCCGUGCCAGCAGCCGCAGUAA